Molecule: small RNA, 534 nt
Filed under: Pongo abelii (Sumatran orangutan)
Lineage: Eukaryota; Metazoa; Chordata; Mammalia; Primates; Hominidae
Description: retained intron
Source: RNAcentral
GCUCACCCGCAGGCAUCAGGUGGCCCGGACAGAGGCAACUGUGCCCACAGACAUGGGCAGUAGCCUCGCCGUCCUCUUCCCCAGCCUCUGCCUCAUCCCAGAAAGCUCCUUGCUCCCAGCUCUGCCCUGCUGGUGACAGGGUUCCCGAGUGACCCUGCUCCACACAGCCCUCACGGUGUCCCCCACCAACCCAGGGCACUGGUGAAGGCUCGGGGGACACGUCCAUUUGUGAUCUCCCGCUCGACCUUUGCUGGCCACGGCCGAUAUGCCGGCCACUGGACGGGGGACGUGUGGAGCUCCUGGGAGCAGCUUGCCUCCUCCGUGCCAGAAAUCCUGCAGUUUAACCUGCUGGGGGUGCCUCUGGUCGGGGCCGACGUCUGCGGCUUCCUGGGCAACACCUCAGAGGAGCUGUGUGUGCGCUGGACCCAGCUGGGGGCCUUCUACCCCUUCAUGCGGAACCACAACGGCCUGUUCAAUCUGCCCCAGGAGCCAUACAGCUUCAGCGAGCCAGCCCAGCAGGCGAUGAGGAAGGCC